Molecule: ribosomal RNA, 508 nt
Filed under: uncultured bacterium
Lineage: Bacteria
Description: partial 16S ribosomal RNA
Rfam family: Bacterial small subunit ribosomal RNA
Source: RNAcentral
AUUGAACGCUGGCGGCAUGCCUUACGCAUGCAAGUCGAACGGCAGCGGGGGAGAAGCUUGCUUUUCCUGCCGGCGAGUGGCGAACGGGUGAGUAAUACAUCGGAACGUGCCCUGUAGUGGGGGAUAACUAGUCGAAAGAUUAGCUAAUACCGCAUACGACCUGAGGGUGAAAGUGGGGGACCGCGAGGCCUCAUGCUAUAGGAGCGGCCGAUGUCUGAUUAGCUAGUUGGUGGGGUAAAGGCCUACCAAGGCGACGAUCAGUAGCUGGUCUGAGAGGACGAUCAGCCACACUGGGACUGAGACACGGCCCAGACUCCUACGGGAGGCAGCAGUGGGGAAUUUUGGACAAUGGGCGAAAGCCUGAUCCAGCAAUGCCGCGUGUGUGAAGAAGGCCUUCGGGUUGUAAAGCACUUUUGUCCGGAAAGAAAUGGCUCUGGUUAAUACCUGGGGUCGAUGACGGUACCGGAAGAAUAAGGACCGGCUAACUACGUGCCAGCCGCCGCCGUAA